AUUGAACGCUGGCGGCAGGCCUAACACAUGCAAGUCGAACGGUAACAGGAAGAAGCUUGCUUCUUUGCUGACGAGUGGCGGACGGGUGAGUAAUGUCUGGGAAACUGCCUGAUGGAGGGGGAUAACUACUGGAAACGGUAGCUAAUACCGCAUAACGUCGCAAGACCAAAGAGGGGGACCUUCGGGCCUCUUGCCAUCGGAUGUGCCCAGAUGGGAUUAGCUAGUAGGUGGGGUAACGGCUCACCUAGGCGACGAUCCCUAGCUGGUCUGAGAGGAUGACCAGCCACACUGGAACUGAGACACGGUACAGACUCCUACGGGAGGCAGCAGUGGGGAAUAUUGCACAAUGGGCGCAAGCCUGAUGCAGCCAUGCCGCGUGUAUGAAGAAGGACUUAGGGUUGUAAAGUACUUUCAGCGGGGAGGAAGGGAGUAAAGUUAAUACCUGUGCUCAUUGACGUUACCCGCAGAAGAAGCACCGGCUAACUCCGUG
Molecule: ribosomal RNA, 490 nt
Filed under: uncultured bacterium
Lineage: Bacteria
Description: partial 16S ribosomal RNA
Rfam family: Bacterial small subunit ribosomal RNA
Source: RNAcentral